Molecule: long non-coding RNA, 674 nt
Organism: Thunnus maccoyii (southern bluefin tuna)
Lineage: Eukaryota; Metazoa; Chordata; Actinopteri; Scombriformes; Scombridae
Exons: 2
Source: RefSeq, a predicted model, not a curated record
GGAUGAUGAUUGGCUGAUUCAAAAUCUGAAGGAACCAAUGAGUUGUAUGAUUGAAAGGCGCAGCUGGGAAGCAAUUAGCUGAUGGCACCUGAAGAGAAAACACAGGAGUGUAUGCUUCCUCCCGUCCUCACCCCCUCUGUCCUCUGGCUGUGACCCAGAAAUUGUUUUCCCUCCACCAUCAUUGAGGAUGUUCCAAUCCCUUAAAUGCACCUCAGAGGAGAGACAAGAGAGGAGCGAGGAGGCUCAUCGGGGAGAACCGCUGGAUGUCUGCUGAGAGGCAGCUGGCCAAUCAGAACAGCCUGUUUCAGAGGCUGAACCGAGGGGCUGGAUAAAGGACCAGUUUAUGAUAAAUUUUUCUUUUAAAACUGUAAAUCAUGCAGAUAUUCCAGUAGACCUCCAGAAUAUAAAUAAAGACCUGUAAAUGUACAUGACGUGUCCUGUUUAAAUUCCAUUUUUAAUGGCGGUGUUAAUCUCUUGCCUAUAGCAAGAAUCAGAGCAAAGACUUAGACGAGUUAUGUAGUGCAGUUAUGUUCUUACUCUUCUCCUGUUUUCUGUGGCAAUUUUAAUGAAACAUACAUGUUCUUUCUCGUCUGUUUGGUGCCUCUUCCUAUGUACCGUAUUACAAGAGUAAAUGUCAACAUAUUUCCUUGUAAAGAAUAAAGCUAAAUAGAUCA